Molecule: long non-coding RNA, 5529 nt
Filed under: Homo sapiens (human)
Lineage: Eukaryota; Metazoa; Chordata; Mammalia; Primates; Hominidae
Description: HSALNT0383699
Source: RNAcentral
GGAGCUUUGAAUCCACCUGGGAGGCUUAAGAGAAAGUGCUGAGUCCCCCAUGCCCUACCCCUGAGACUGCUGACAGGCAUCGCUGAGGGCUGCAGCUUUGGAAUCGGGCAUCUUCUGAGGAAGAGAAAGGCACCACAGCCACGGCACAGAAGACUAGCCCACCUGGAUGACACGGUCCAUCUGCUUGAUGGAAGGCUGCUGAUGGAGCCAUUGGUGGAUCUCCAGGGGACCAGAGUGAAGAUGACAUUAAGACCAUGGAUGGCAGAGUACAAUUUCUGAAGGCUCUGUAGAGUUGGUAGAUCAACAUCCUACCUGGCUGUCCUGUUUAUAACAGGAAAUAUUCAAUGUCCAUAUUUUAAAACCAGUUGGAAUCCAGGUUGUCUGUUGCUUGUAGUUGAAAACAUCCAAACUAGGCAGUGGUGGAUACCUUGGGCAUAAGCUGCCAUCCUGAAAUGUGGCCAGGCUGAGCUGGUGGACAUUAUAAAAUCCACAAGUUGGGCCAUCAGGUGUGGGAAGGGAGUCAGAAUCGCAGAAUGUCUGAAAAGAAAUGGCUUGUGUUGCCCACAGUAAAGCCAGUAGGGUUCAUCACAUAUCUUGCUGGGAGGUCUUGGUGGGCAUUGUCUGGUAGGGAAAGAGUGUGGACGUUGGAUGCCACACACCUGCGUGGGCAGAUUGCUAGAUAAGUCAAGAUUGAUCAACAAUACCAGUUCCACUUGGGUGACAUGCUUUAAUGAUUGUCAUGAGCACACGACUGAUGGAUGUUACCCUCAAUGGUGCUUUAAAAUGGUUUCUUCUGUAAAAGCCAGCAAAAUGUAGACAGUGAGAGAGCAACCUCUGGCACCUUCAGGUACCUGGAAGCACAGGGCAAGAGAAAAUGCACCUGGGGUAGGAGGAGAAGGAAGGAGUGACCCAGUUCCACCUACUCACCCACCUCAAAGUCAUCAGUCAAAACCUUAGACUUCUAGCCCCAGGUCCACCAAAAGUAAAAUCUCUUGGGAUAGGGCAAGUGUUCUCAGCAACUUUUUUUUUUUAAGCUAGUCUUUGAACUCUUGCGUUGAGGACUCAGCAGUGGUGGGAGCAGCAGGAAGAUGACAGGAUUCUGUCCAUGUAAUCCAGUUGAGGGAUUAACUGUGUGAGUGUGCACGUGUAGGUGUGUGUAUGUGCACAUACUUGUGUGCAUGUUUGUGUGUGCACACGUGUGCAGUGUUCUUAUGUGCAUGUGUGUUGUACAUGUGAGUGCACAUGUGUGUGGUGACGGAGACAAGUAGGGCUGAAGUCGAAACAGCAUAAGCCUGGAGAUUUGGAGAAGCAACAAGGGCAGUCCCAUUCUGCUCGGAAAUGAAGAGCACAGGUGGCUGGGGGUGUUGGGAGUGGGAGACGGCAGCAGAAGAUCCCCUUGUAGGGAAAGGGCCUCAUAACCCCCCACACAGUUUCUGGGACUGCUAGCAAUUCCCCUUGCAGGAGAGAGAUUGUCUGCCUCCCUCUAUGGAUGAGGACAUGGAAGGCAGGACUUUAGUGAGCAAGUCCCUCAGCUCACGAGCGAGACUCAGGAAGGGAGGGGAGAGUCUGGUGGGAGACAUAGUGUUUCUCACUGGCCUGUCUCCCCACGAGCUGUUGCUGCGCCCUGGGCCACUCCUUCCUCUGUGCCUACCUGAAUUUCUUGUCUUUCGAGACUCCAGGUCGUGGCUACCUUAUCAAUCUUCCUGCUCCUUCCCAAGGCCCAGGUUGGAGCCCCUCUCUGUGUUCAGGAGGACUGGGGGCUCCCCCUACCCUCGCCCCAUGUCUUUGUAUUGCUAUCCCAACUUUAAUGCUGGGCUUUUCUGGAGACGUUGGGAUCCUUGAGGACAGAGCUGUGUCUUAUCCACUGUUAUGCUGGGUCCCUUACUAAACAGGUACUGAAUGCACUAAUCUCAGCCUGGAGCUAGGGGAGGCCAACAGAUACCCCUUUGCCUCAAUGUUGUAGGUAUGGCCUCUUGGGAACUGUGUAGUAUUUUUUUGUGGGUGAGUGUGAGUGUGUGUGUGUGUGUGUGUGUGUGUGUGUGUGUGUGUGUGUGUGUGUAUGAGAGAGGGAGAGAGACAGCCUGCAUCAUUCUGCACUGUGUCCUGCAUAUGUGUAGUCACAGCCCCAUUUACAACACCUAGAGUGUGGCUUGAGCAUGUCCCAGUUUUCAUCAGACUUGGGGAUGCCUAGGAAAAGAAGGAGAAAAGUUCGUGAGCAGCAGCAACAGCAGCCUGGGGCAGGGGAGGAGGGGCCUGGCCAGAAGCCCCAGAGGCCCCAGUAGCCGAUGGUGAACUGACCUUGUACAGGAUAAGCUGUCCCGGUAAAGUCCAAGUCAGAGGCUCAGUCUCCAUUCAGGACAAACUUCUAUAGGGUGAGGAAGGAGCUCAGACAGGCUGGCCUUGGGAUCUGCAGCCUCACUUUACUUGUUCCAGAAACAGAGAUUCUAUUCAGGGUGGCUGGCCUUGAAGGGGUGUCUAGGAGCUCUGGGAACAGUGCAACUGUGACGUGCACAGUGCCUUUUUUUUUAGCCCAAGGUUAUGUGUGGUAAACUAUGCAUGACAUACAAUCUAUCAUCUUACUACUUUAAGUGUACAGUUCAGGGUAUUAAGUACAUUCACAUGGCUGUGCAGCCACCACCAGCACCAUCCAUCUCCAGAACUCUUAUUGUUUUGCAACACUGAAACCGAAAACUGAGAACAUGAGGUAUUUGGUUUUCUGUUCCUGUGUUAGUUUGCUGAGGAUGAUGGCUUCUAGCUUCAUCCAUGUCCCUGCAAAGGACAUGAUCUCAUUCUUUUUUAUGGCUGCAUAGUAGAAUCUCCUUUAUUUUUAAGGCUGAAUAAUAAUCCCCUCGUAUGUAUGUAUGAUCCAUCCAGUCAUCCGUCGACAGGCAUUUGGGUUGCAUGGGGCAUCUUUAGUAUUUCGAUCAUCAAAUAAUUAAAUAAGAGGUUGGAGUUUACACGCAGUGUUUUCUAUACCGUUGUCUCAUUGAUUCAUUUCCCUGAAAUUAUAUUCAUGUGGUUAACUUGAUCCUUCUGUGGGAAAGGGCCUGGGAGGCAAAGAAAAGUAUGAGUGUGGUUCUGAUGCAACCCUUAGACUUUCCUGUGGCGGACAGUGGGUGGACGUCUCAGGUUGAUGGUGUCGCAGGUGUCUGUGCAGGGAUGGGGUGUUUCUACCGGAACCUACCCAGCUUCCCCACCUUGCCUUCUUUAUGUGCGCUGGCUGGCAUGGCACGGUGCCCUGCCACUGAUGCUGGCGUCGGAUGGCCUGGAACUGAGUGUGUGGCCUCAGGCAGGUGACUUUGCUUCUGUGAGCCUCUCUUCAUUUGUGGUCCCCAAAAGCGGCCGUGGGAAAGAAAUGAGAGAGCACAGUGUCUGAACAAUAGUCCUUUUGUGAUAAAUGGUGGUUUUCUUCCUACUGCUCUCCCACUUGGUGAUCAUGAACUUCAGAGAAAACAUUCCCUGAUUUUUGGGGACCCACACACAUGGUGAUGCGCUGGAUGUUGUCACCCUGGUCAGUCUGACUCCCCCCACCCCGGACAGUUGGGCUCUUCCUGAGAAGCCCAUCUCACAACGCGUUUGCAGGACUUCCCAUGAGUGAUUCCCAAUUCCAUUAUUCAGGGAUGCGAUGAGGCCCCAAGGGCUAAAUGUUGUGGCAUUGGAAGCAAAACCUACAGCCCAGAGUCAGCUUGGGUGAGAGGCCCAUGGGGCCCUCACGGCACCGACCUCAAAGACCUACAGGGAUGGAAGCCCGGCAAACAGAAAUCCUUCAUAAUUGCCCAGAAGUUCAAAGCUACUGGUCCGUUAGGUUAAUAGCCCUGCAGAUCUCAUGGCUGGAUCCGAAGCAGCAUUUGCGGAGUUCACAAUGAUCCUGGUCACCUUGGACGUUUUAUUGUGCCACUCGCUUGCAACAAGCCUCCAUCUCAACACAGAUGAGAUGUACUCCCAAGUAAGGAGUUUGAAAAAGCAGGAAGCACCAGCAGAUGGAGCGCGAGUUCGGGAUCCCAGCUCAGGCUGGUGCGGUUUGGGACCCAACACACUUGUGCAUUUCUGUGGGUUCAUCCGCACAGCACGUCCUCCACCGGGGCCCUACCUGCUUCCCACCACUGCGGCCCGGGCCCCUUCCCUGCUCAAUUCAGCCCUUUUCUUUAGAGCUCAGGUCCACCCUCCUAGAAACAAGAACACUAUGACUAAUUAUAAAAUCAUUAUAUGAUUAAACUCAAUUAACUUCAAAUAACCCUUGAAAUUUGCUUAAUGUCAGCCUUUGGCCCCGCUUGAACUGUUAAAUGUUGCUCUCCUUUGAAAUUCCAGUGAGACCAGCUGGUUACAGUCCACUACCUGGCGUGAUCCCUGGGCUCUGUGGGGCCACGUGUCUUGGAGUGCAGGGCAGGAAAUGAUGGCCUGGUGCUGAGGGUCCGGAGCACAGGUGAGGGAAGAGGUUGGGGGAGAUAGUGGUGAUGGAAUUUGGGAACCUUUGGCUCUGCUGGCUAUUAGUUGACGAAUGGCUGGGAGGAGCUCUGAGGUGGCCUUUCACUUGGGCUCUGACAAGUUUGUUCAAGCCUCUGAGUUUGAACUUGGUGUCUUUUUUGGGCUGAAUGUUGUGCUUCUAAAACUCAUAUGUUGAAAUUCUAAUCUCCAGUAUCUCAGAAUGUGACUACUGUAUUUGGAGACAGGGCCCUUAAAAAUGUGAUUAGGGUUAAAUGAAGUCAUCUGAUGUGACUAGUAUGCUAAUAAGUAGAGGAAAUUUGGACACACACACACACAUGUGCAGAGGGAGGUCAUAUGGAGACACGGGGUGGGGGGUGGGGACGGUGGCCGUCUGCAAGACAGAGAGAGGGGUCUCUGGAAGAAGCAACCCUGCUGAUGCCUUGGUUUUGGACUUCCACCCUCCAAAACUAUGAGGAAAUCAACUUCUGUUGUUUAAGCUACCCAGUCUAUGGUACUUUGUUGAGGCUGCCUGUGGUGGUUAAUAUUGAGUGUCAACCUGAUUGUACUGAAAGAUGCAAGGUAUUGUUCCUGGGUGUGUCUGUGAGAGUGUUGCCCAAGGAGAUUAACAUUUCAGUCAGUGGACCGAGAGAGGCAGACCCACCCACAAUCUGGGUGGGACUAUCUAAUCAGCUGCCAGCGCAGCUAGGAUAAAGCAGGCAGAAGGAAGUUGAAUGAGGGUGGACUUGUUGAGUCUUCUGGCCUUCAUCUUUCUCCAGCGCUGGAUGCUUCAUGCCUUUGAACAUUGGACUCCAAGUUCUUCACCUUUUGGACUCUUGGACUUACACCAGUGGUUUGCCAGGGACUCUCAGGCCUUUGGCCACAGACUGAAGGCUGCAUUGUCAAUCCUCCUUAAUAAACUCCCUUUCAUAUAUGCAUCUAGCCUAUUCUGUGCCUCUAGAGAACCCUGACUAAUAUACUGCCGUAGCAAACUAAUACAGCACCCUUCAUUCUCUGUCUCUCUGUUAGCCUAGAAGGUCAGCCCAGAGUCCUGAUAGCAGGGGUGGGAGGCGGGCACCCCUCAGACUAGUUACAGAUACAAAGAUG